CCAGACUCCUACGGGAGGCAGCAGUGGGGAAUAUUGGACAAUGGGGGGAACCCUGAUCCAGCGACGCCGCGUGAGUGAAGAAGUAUUUCGGUAUGUAAAGCUCUAUCAGCAGGGAAGAAAGAAAUGACGGUACCUGACUAAGAAGCCCCGGCUAACUACGUGCCAGCAGCCGCGGUAAUACGUAGGGGGCAAGCGUUAUCCGGAUUCACUGGGUGUAAAGGGAGCGUAGACGGCGACGCAAGUCUGGAGUGAAAGCCCGGGGCCCAACCCCGGGACUGCUCUGGAAACUGCGGCGCUGGAGUACGGGAGGGGCAGGCGGAAUUCCUGGUGUAGCGGUGAAAUGCGUAGAUAUCAGGAGGAACAUCAGUGGCGAAGGCGGCCGCCUGGCACAAAACUGACGCUGAGGUGCGAAAGCGUGGGUAGCGAACAGGAUUAGAUACCCCGGUAA
This 448-nucleotide ribosomal RNA is filed under the name uncultured bacterium. Its description in RNAcentral is "bacterial SSU rRNA". It matches the Rfam family "Bacterial small subunit ribosomal RNA", at positions 331 to 793 of the family's 1533-position model. The record is from RNAcentral.